UCACCUGGCGCUGGUGAUUUAGGACUGGGGGCUGUAGCCACAGCCCGUCCCUAGCAGCAGCGGCGUCGGAGUGAACGCGUACACGUGACUCCGGCUUUGGCUCCUCAGUGCCUCUACAAACAGAGGCGCGCACACACAUUCCUUCUCUUCUCCAUCCAGUCUCUUCCCCUCCUUCCCUGUCACACACACGCCGUGCGAGCCGCCGCCAGGGCAAAGCUCUAGGCACACGCCGGGGUGGCAGCGCCAGGAGCAGCAGCGGUUCAACCAAGAAGCAAGAGUUUGCAAAGGCUGCUGUGCCCGGCUGAAGAGGCUUUGCACCCGGAGGAUGGCUGGCUGCGGGCUGUCAGAAGAUGCCUUCUUCUCUUCCUUCUUCUACAACUACACCUCCUCCUGGGAGAGCUCCUACAACCAGAAUUUGGAUUCUGGAUCAGAGGUCCAUAUACUCAGCAAGACAGCCGCUAAUACCUGUUCUUCAGAGGAAGGUGCAAGAAGCUCUACACAACACAGCUCGGGAAUAGCUUGCCUUCAAGGAAAGUUUCUUUCUAACCUCCAUUAGUUAAGAUUGGCUUAUGCACUGAAGCAUGAGGGUUUAAAUCUUUGAUGUCCCUUCUCUUCAUGUAUCAGUAUAACAAUGCCUGCAUCUGUAAUUUUCACUCCAUGCAUCUGAAGAAGUGGGUUUUUUACCCACGAAAGCUUAUGCCCAAAUAAAUCUGUUAGCUUUUAAGGUGUCA
Molecule: long non-coding RNA, 731 nt
Filed under: Gopherus agassizii (Agassiz's desert tortoise)
Lineage: Eukaryota; Metazoa; Chordata; Testudines; Testudinidae
Description: lncRNA (ENSGAGG00000010373.1)
Source: RNAcentral